RNAcentral lists this transfer RNA (73 nucleotides) under Capra hircus (goat). It matches the Rfam family "tRNA". Rfam says of the family: Transfer RNA (tRNA) molecules are approximately 80 nucleotides in length. Their secondary structure includes four short double-helical elements and three loops (D, anti-codon, and T loops). Further hydrogen bonds mediate the characteristic L-shaped molecular structure. tRNAs have two regions of fundamental functional importance: the anti-codon, which is responsible for specific mRNA codon recognition, and the 3' end, to which the tRNAs corresponding amino acid is attached (by aminoacyl-tRNA synthetases). tRNAs cope with the degeneracy of the genetic code in two manners: having more than one tRNA (with a specific anti-codon) for a particular amino acid; and 'wobble' base-pairing, i.e. permitting non-standard base-pairing at the 3rd anti-codon position. RNAcentral also lists the same sequence under 1 other name. The record is from Rfam by way of RNAcentral. Lineage: Eukaryota; Metazoa; Chordata; Mammalia; Artiodactyla; Bovidae.
UCCUCGGUGGUUCAGUGGCUAAGAUUCCGUGUUCCCAAUACAGAGGACCCAGGUUCAAUCCCUGGUCAGGGAA